This 444-nucleotide ribosomal RNA is filed under the name uncultured Prevotellaceae bacterium. RNAcentral describes it as "bacterial SSU rRNA". It matches the Rfam family "Bacterial small subunit ribosomal RNA", at positions 355 to 794 of the family's 1533-position model. Lineage: Bacteria; Pseudomonadati; Bacteroidota; Bacteroidia; Bacteroidales; Prevotellaceae. The record is from RNAcentral.
UGAGGAAUAUUGGUCAAUGGUCGCGAGACUGAACCAGCCAAGUAGCGUGCAGGAUGACGGCCCUCCGGGUUGUAAACUGCUUUUAGUUGGGAAUAAAAGGGUGUACGUGUACGCCGAAUUGUAUGUACCAUCAGAAAAAGGACCGGCUAAUUCCGUGCCAGCAGCCGCGGUAAUACGGAAGGUCCGGGCGUUAUCCGGAUUUAUUGGGUUUAAAGGGAGCGUAGGCGGGUUUUUAAGUCAGUUGUGAAAGUCUGCGGCUCAACCGUAGAAUUGCAGUUGAAACUGGAAGCCUUGAGUGCACGCAGGGGUGCCGGAAUUCAUGGUGUAGCGGUGAAAUGCUUAGAUAUCACGAAGAACUCCGAUUGCGAAGGCAGCUGGCGAGAGCACAACUGACGCUGAAGCUCGAAAGUGCGGGUAUCGAACAGGAUUAGAUACCCUGGUAGU